UGGGGAAUAUUGGACAAUGGGCGAAAGCCUGAUCCAGCCAUGCCGCGUGUGUGAAGAAGGUCUUCGGAUUGUAAAGCACUUUAAGUUGGGAGGAAGGGCAGUAAGCGAAUACCUUGCUGUUUUGACGUUACCGACAGAAUAAGCACCGGCUAACUCUGUGCCAGCAGCCGCAGUAAUACAUAGGGUGCAAGCGUUAAUCGGAAUUACUGGGCGUAAAGCGCGCGUAGGUGGUUCGUUAAGUGGAAUGUGAAAGCCCCGGGCUCAACCUGGGAACUGCACCCAAAACUGGGGAGCUAGAGUAGGGCAGAGGGUGGUGGAAUUUCCUGUGUAGCGGUGAAAUGCGUAGAUAUAGGAAGGGACACCAGUGGCGAAGGCGACCACCUGGGCUCAUACUGACACUGAGGUGCGAAAGCGUGGGGAGCAAACAGG
This 429-nucleotide ribosomal RNA is filed under the name Pseudomonadota bacterium. Its description in RNAcentral is "Proteobacteria bacterium partial 16S ribosomal RNA". It matches the Rfam family "Bacterial small subunit ribosomal RNA", at positions 355 to 776 of the family's 1533-position model. The record is from RNAcentral. Lineage: Bacteria; Pseudomonadati; Pseudomonadota.